This 469-nucleotide ribosomal RNA is filed under the name uncultured bacterium. Its description in RNAcentral is "partial 16S ribosomal RNA". It matches the Rfam family "Bacterial small subunit ribosomal RNA", at positions 27 to 507 of the family's 1533-position model. The record is from RNAcentral.
GGAUGAACGCUGGCGGCGUGCUUAACACAUGCAAGUCGAACGGUGAACACGGAGCUUGCUCUGUGGGAUCAGUGGCGAACGGGUGAGUAACACGUGAGCAACCUGCCCCUGACUCUGGGAUAAGCGCUGGAAACGGCGUCUAAUACUGGAUAUGUGACGUGAUCGCAUGGUCUGCGUCUGGAAAGAAUUUCGGUUGGGGAUGGGCUCGCGGCCUAUCAGCUUGUUGGUGAGGUAAUGGCUCACCAAGGCGUCGACGGGUAGCCGGCCUGAGAGGGUGACCGGCCACACUGGGACUGAGACACGGCCCAGACUCCUACGGGAGGCAGCAGUGGGGAAUAUUGCACAAUGGGCGCAAGCCUGAUGCAGCAACGCCGCGUGAGGGAUGACGGCCUUCGGGUUGUAAACCUCUUUUAGCAGGGAAGAAGCGAAAGUGACGGUACCUGCAGAAAAAGCGCCGGCUAACUACGUG